UCAAGCGAACAAGUGCAUGUGGUGGAUGCCUUGGCGAUCACAGGCGAUGAAGGACGCGGUAGCCUGCGAAAAGCUUCGGGGAGCUGGCAAACAAGCUUUGAUCCGGAGAUGUCCGAAUGGGGAAACCCGGCCCGUAUGGGUCAUCCCUGACUGAAUCCAUAGGUCAGGGAAGCGAACGCGGCGAACUGAAACAUCUAAGUAGCUGCAGGAACAGAAAUCAACCGAGAUUCCCAAAGUAGUGGCGAACGAAAUGGGAAGAGCCUUGCACUCUUUAGCAGGACUGUUAGCAAAACGGGAUGGAAAGCCCGGCCAUAGCAGGUGAUAGCCCUGUAUGCGAAAACAGACUUGUGGAACUAGGUGUGCGACAAGUAGGGCGGGACACGUGAAAUCCUGUCUGAAGAUGGGGGGACCAUCCUCCAAGGCUAAAUACUCGUGAUCGACCGAUAGUGAACCAGUACCGUGAGGGAAAGGCGAAAAGAACCCCGGGAGGGGAGUGAAAUAGAUCCUGAAACCGCAUGCAUACAAACAGUCGGAGCCUCUUCGGGGGUGACGGCGUACCUUUUGUAUAAUGGGUCAGCGACUUACAUUCAGUGGCAAGCUUAACCGGUUAGGGAAGGCGUAGCGAAAGCGAGUCCGAACAGGGCGUUGAGUCGCUGGGUGUAGACCCGAAACCAGAUGAUCUAUCCAUGGCCAGGUUGAAGGUGCGGUAACACGUACUGGAGGACCGAACCCACUAACGUUGAAAAGUUAGGGGAUGAGCUGUGGAUAGGGGUGAAAGGCUAAACAAAUCUGGAAAUAGCUGGUUCUCUCCGAAAACUAUUUAGGUAGUGCCUCGUGUCUCACCUUCGGGGGUAGAGCACUGUCAUGGUUGGGGGGUCUAUUGCUGAUUACCCCGCCAUAGCAAACUCCGAAUACCGAAGAGUGCAAUCACGGGAGACAGACAUCGGGUGCUAACGUCCGGUGUCAAGAGGGAAACAACCCAGACCGCCAGCUAAGGUCCCCAAAUAUAGCUAAGUGGGAAACGAAGUGGGAAGGCUAAAACAGUCAGGAGGUUGGCUUAGAAGCAGCCACCCUUUAAAGAAAGCGUAAUAGCUCACUGAUCGAGUCGUCCUGCGCGGAAGAUGUAACGGGGCUAAGCUAUAUACCGAAGCUGCGGACGCACGCAAGUGCGUGGUAGGAGAGCGUUCUGUAAGCCUGUGAAGGUGUCUUGUAAAGGAUGCUGGAGGUAUCAGAAGUGCGAAUGCUGACAUGAGUAGCGAUAAAGGGGGUGAAAGGCCCCCUCGCCGUAAGCCCAAGGUUUCCUACGCAACGUUCAUCGGCGUAGGGUGAGUCGGCCCCUAAGGCGAGGCAGAGAUGCGUAGCUGAUGGGAAGCAGGUUAAUAUUCCUGCACCGUCGUAUGAUGCGAUGGGGGGACGGAUCGCGGAAGGUUGUCCGGGUGUUGGAAGUCCCGGUCCCUGUAGUGGAGAAGGCGCUUAGGCAAAUCCGGGCGCGGAAUUCAAGGCUAUGGGGCGAGCGGCCUAGUGCUGCGAAGCAAUUGGAAGUGGUUCCAAGAAAAGCCUCUAAGCUUCAGUCAUACGAGACCGUACCGCAAACCGACACAGGUGGGCGAGAUGAGUAUUCUAAGGCGCUUGAGAGAACUCGGGAGAAGGAACUCGGCAAAUUGGUACCGUAACUUCGGGAUAAGGUACGCCCUGGUAGCUUGACUGGCCUGCGCCAGAAGGGUGAAGGGGUUGCAAUAAAAUGGUGGCUGCGACUGUUUAAUAAAAACACAGCACUCUGCAAACACGAAAGUGGACGUAUAGGGUGUGACGCCUGCCCGGUGCCGGAAGAUUAAAUGAUGGGGUGCAAGCUCUUGAUUGAAGUCCCGGUAAACGGCGGCCGUAACUAUAACGGUCCUAAGGUAGCGAAAUUCCUUGUCGGGUAAGUUCCGACCUGCACGAAUGGCGUAACGAUGGCCACACUGUCUCCUCCCGAGACUCAGCGAAGUUGAAGUGUUUGUGAUGAUGCAAUCUCCCCGCGGCUAGACGGAAAGACCCCAUGAACCUUUACUGUAGCUUUGCAUUGGACUUUGAACCGAUCUGUGUAGGAUAGGUGGGAGGCUUUGAAGCGUGGACGCUAGUUCACGUGGAGCCGUCCUUGAAAUACCACCCUGGUUUGUUUGAGGUUCUAACCUUGGCCCGUGAAUCCGGGUCGGGGACAGUGCAUGGUAGGCAGUUUGACUGGGGCGGUCUCCUCCCAAAGUGUAACGGAGGAGUUCGAAGGUACGCUUGGUACGGUCGGACAUCGUACCUAAAGUGCAAUGGCAAAAGCGUGCUUAACUGCGAGACCGACAAGUCGAGCAGGUGCGAAAGCAGGACAUAGUGAUCCGGUGGUUCUGAAUGGAAGGGCCAUCGCUCAACGGAUAAAAGGUACUCUGGGGAUAACAGGCUGAUACCGCCCAAGAGUUCAUAUCGACGGCGGUGUUUGGCACCUCGAUGUCGGCUCAUCUCAUCCUGGGGCUGUAGCCGGUCCCAAGGGUAUGGCUGUUCGCCAUUUAAAGAGGUACGUGAGCUGGGUUUAAAACGUCGUGAGACAGUUUGGUCCCUAUCUGCCGUGGGCGUUGGAAUCUUGACGGGGGCUGCUCCUAGUACGAGAGGACCGGAGUGGACGUACCGCUGGUGUACCUGUUGUCUCGCCAGAGGCAUCGCAGGGUAGCUAUGUACGGAAGAGAUAACCGCUGAAAGCAUCUAAGCGGGAAACUCGCCUGAAGAUGAGGAUUCCCUGGAGGCUUGACCUCCUUGAAGGGUCGUUCGAGACCAGGACGUUGAUAGGCUGGGUGUGGAAGCGCAGUAAUGCGUUAAGCUAACCAGUACUAAUUGCCCGUAAGGCUUGAUCCU
RNAcentral lists this ribosomal RNA (2877 nucleotides) under Cupriavidus taiwanensis. Its description in RNAcentral is "bacterial LSU rRNA". It matches the Rfam family "Bacterial large subunit ribosomal RNA". The record is from RNAcentral. Lineage: Bacteria; Pseudomonadati; Pseudomonadota; Betaproteobacteria; Burkholderiales; Burkholderiaceae.